This 497-nucleotide ribosomal RNA is filed under the name uncultured bacterium. RNAcentral's name for it is "partial 16S ribosomal RNA". It matches the Rfam family "Bacterial small subunit ribosomal RNA", at positions 28 to 507 of the family's 1533-position model. The record is from RNAcentral.
GAUGAACGCUGGCGGCGUGCCUAAUACAUGCAAGUCGAGCGAACGGACGAGAAGCUUGCUUCUCUGAUGUUAGCGGCGGACGGGUGAGUAACACGUGGAUAACCUACCUAUAAGACUGGGAUAACUUCGGGAAACCGGAGCUAAUACCGGAUAAUAUUUUGAACCGCAUGGUUCAAAAGUGAAAGACGGUCUUGCUGUCACUUAUAGAUGGAUCCGCGCUGCAUUAGCUAGUUGGUAAGGUAACGGCUUACCAAGGCAACGAUGCAUAGCCGACCUGAGAGGGUGAUCGGCCACACGGGAACUGAGAAACGGUCCAGACUCCUACGGGAGGCAGCAGUAGGGAAUCUUCCGCAAUGGGCGAAAGCCUGACGGAGCAACGCCGCGUGAGUGAAGAAGGUCUUCGGAUCGUAAAACUCUGUUAUUAGGGAAGAACAUAUGUGUAAGUAACUGUGCACAUCUUGACGGUACCUAAUCAGAAAGCCACGGCUAACUACGUG